This 74-nucleotide transfer RNA is filed under the name Pteropus alecto (black flying fox). It matches the Rfam family "tRNA". From Rfam's summary of the family: Transfer RNA (tRNA) molecules are approximately 80 nucleotides in length. Their secondary structure includes four short double-helical elements and three loops (D, anti-codon, and T loops). RNAcentral also lists the same sequence under 1 other name. The record is from Rfam by way of RNAcentral. Lineage: Eukaryota; Metazoa; Chordata; Mammalia; Chiroptera; Pteropodidae.
AGCUCCAUAGUGUAGUGGUUAGCACGUCUGUUUUACAUGCAGAAGGUCCUGGGUUUGCGCCCCAGGUGGAGCCA